UACCUGCAGCCCGAGUGGUGGCCGCUAUUAUUGGGCCUAAAACGUCCGUAGCCGGUUCUAUAAAUGCCUGGGUAAAUCGUACGGCUUAACCGUACGAAUUCCGGGUAGACUGUUCAACUUGGGACCGGGAGAGGCUAGAGGUACUCCUGGGGUAGAGGUGAAAUUCUGUAAUCCUAGGGGGACCACCAGUGGCGAAGGCGUCUAGCUAGAACGGGUCUGACGGUGAGGGACGAAGCCCUGGGGAG
RNAcentral lists this ribosomal RNA (245 nucleotides) under uncultured Methanomassiliicoccus sp. RNAcentral's name for it is "partial 16S ribosomal RNA". It matches the Rfam family "Archaeal small subunit ribosomal RNA", at positions 474 to 719 of the family's 1478-position model. The record is from RNAcentral. Lineage: Archaea; Methanobacteriati; Thermoplasmatota; Thermoplasmata; Methanomassiliicoccales; Methanomassiliicoccaceae.